GCGUGUGUGAAGAAGGCCUGCGGGUUGUAAAGCACUUUCAGUAGGGAGGAAAAGCAACAGGUUAAUACCCUGGUGUCUUGACGUUACCUACAGAAGAAGCACCGGCUAACUCUGUGCCAGCAGCCGCGGUAAUACAGAGGGUGCAAGCGUUAAUCGGAAUUACUGGGCGUAAAGCGCGCGUAGGCGGCUUGGUCAGUCGGAUGUGAAAGCCCCGGGCUUAACCUGGGAAUUGCAUUCGAUACUGCUAGGCUAGAGUGUAGUAGAGGGAAGCGGAAUUCCAGGUGUAGCGGUGAAAUGCGU
RNAcentral lists this ribosomal RNA (300 nucleotides) under uncultured bacterium. RNAcentral's name for it is "bacterial SSU rRNA". It matches the Rfam family "Bacterial small subunit ribosomal RNA", at positions 399 to 691 of the family's 1533-position model. The record is from RNAcentral.